Molecule: transfer RNA, 76 nt
Filed under: Thermobaculum terrenum ATCC BAA-798
Lineage: Bacteria; Bacillati; Chloroflexota; Chloroflexia; Thermobaculales (SeqCode); Thermobaculaceae (SeqCode)
Also listed under: 1 other name
Description: tRNA-Trp (CCA) (tRNA-Trp-CCA-1-1)
Rfam family: tRNA
About the family: Transfer RNA (tRNA) molecules are approximately 80 nucleotides in length. Their secondary structure includes four short double-helical elements and three loops (D, anti-codon, and T loops). Further hydrogen bonds mediate the characteristic L-shaped molecular structure. tRNAs have two regions of fundamental functional importance: the anti-codon, which is responsible for specific mRNA codon recognition, and the 3' end, to which the tRNAs corresponding amino acid is attached (by aminoacyl-tRNA synthetases). tRNAs cope with the degeneracy of the genetic code in two manners: having more than one tRNA (with a specific anti-codon) for a particular amino acid; and 'wobble' base-pairing, i.e. permitting non-standard base-pairing at the 3rd anti-codon position.
Source: RNAcentral
AGGGGUAUAGCUCAACUGGUAGAGCACCGGUCUCCAAAACCGGCGGUUGGGGGUUCGAGUCCCUCUGCCCCUGCCA